Molecule: ribosomal RNA, 429 nt
Filed under: Chloroflexota bacterium
Lineage: Bacteria; Bacillati; Chloroflexota
Description: Chloroflexi bacterium partial 16S ribosomal RNA
Rfam family: Bacterial small subunit ribosomal RNA
Source: RNAcentral
UGGGGAAUAUUGCACAAUGGGCGCAAGCCUGAGGCAGCCAUGCCGCGUGUGUGAAGAAGGCCUUCGGGUUGUAAAGCACUUUCAGCGGGGAGGAAGGCGAUAAGGUUAAUAACCUUGUCGAUUGACGUUACCCGCAGAAGAAGCACCGGCUAACUCCGUGCCAGCAGCCGCGGUAAUACGGAGGGUGCAAGCGUUAAUCGGAAUUACUGGGCGUAAAGCGCACGCAGGCGGUUUGUUAAGUCAGAUGUGAAAUCCCCGGGCUCAACCUGGGAACUGCAUCUGAUACUGGCAAGCUUGAGUCUCGUAGAGGGGGGUAGAAUUCCAGGUGUAGCGGUGAAAUGCGUAGAGAUCUGGAGGAAUACCGGUGGCGAAGGCGGCCCCCUGGACGAAGACUGACGCUCAGGUGCGAAAGCGUGGGGAGCAAACAGG